UCCAGUUCAUGGUCUGAUGAAAGAUUUGGAUCGUCUGGAGAUGAAGUAGAAGGAGCAGUGUUGCUGAUGUGAACAUCUGAUUCAGAUUCUCUACUUUCUCCGAUGAUGGCCUCUUGAUCAUUGUUCUCUUCUUUGCCAGUGGUAGGCACAUGCGGAUUAGGUUCAUUCCUAAACAAAAAGAUUGACUUUUGUGAGAGUUACUCUUGAGAUCCAUCUCAGAAGUUUGUUUUCAUUGAGAGUUAAUCUUGUCUAUAAACUGUGUGAGACAGAAUGAGUGCAGGGUUUUACCUUUCUGUGUUGUCUUUAGAACCUCCUGUAGUAAUCUCAUUGCUUGAUCUUGUGGGCUUUUUACUCUUCUGAUUUGUUCUUCUCUUUCUGCAGAAGAAGACAAGUCUUAAGCAUCAGUUUGCAUCGUUCAAGAAACCAAGUUUGAUUGAUGACAAAAAAAAGAAAAAAGAAAAAAGAAAAAAGAAAAAAGAAACCAAGUUUGAUUUUGAGGGGAGCCAUUAGCAAAUCUUGUUCUAACAUUUAGUUACCUG
RNAcentral lists this long non-coding RNA (539 nucleotides) under Capsella rubella. RNAcentral describes it as "long non-coding RNA (CRUB_LNC001013)". Lineage: Eukaryota; Viridiplantae; Streptophyta; Magnoliopsida; Brassicales; Brassicaceae. The record is from RNAcentral.